RNAcentral lists this long non-coding RNA (699 nucleotides) under Ananas comosus (pineapple). RNAcentral's name for it is "long non-coding RNA (ACOM_LNC018268)". The record is from RNAcentral. Lineage: Eukaryota; Viridiplantae; Streptophyta; Magnoliopsida; Poales; Bromeliaceae.
UAAAUUUGGAACGGUUGUUUUUUUCUUUUUUUUGUGAACAAGAUGGGAACAAGCUUAAUUCAAGUCAAAGUUUAAUUUUAGUUAUUGUAGUAAAUUAUUAAUUAAUCUAAUUAAUAUAUUUAAAUCAUCAUCUAUUGCUUAAAUAAUAAAAUAAUUAAUUAAUUUAUUAUUUGAUAAUUAAUAAGGUAAUUAAAAAAAUUAAUAACUUAAUGCGAUUAUCCAUAAACUAAUAUUUAUAUUGAGCAACCAUUAAUAUUUUUAUUAAUCUAAUUAAUUUCCUUACUUAUUACCAAACUAAAAUAAUAUACUAACUAAUUAAAAAAUUAAAUUAUUUUUUAAUUAAUUAAUUAAUAUAUUUUCAUUAUCUUAUAUAAUAUUCAUAACUUGUAAAUUUAUUAAUUUAUUAAAUUAUUUUUAAUUAAUGUUUUGAUGUUAAUUAAUUAGAUAAAAUAUUUUUUAAUUUAAAAUUAUAACUCUUAUUCUUUUCUCUUCCAAUCUAACUAUCCAAACGUAAAACUAAUUACCUCAUAUCUAAUUUAAAAUUAAUCUAACUAUUUACCUUAUUCUCUGAAACAACUUAAUUUUCAUCCGAGCGUAAAACUAAUUUUAUUCGUAUUUAUAUCUGAAUUUAUAUCUAUCAUUGAAAUAAGUAAUUUUUUAUUUAUAUCCGAAUCAAACACAGUUCAUAAGAAUAUAUUU